GAGCUGUCCUGACUUAUCACAGAGUUAAUCUUUUUACAACAACAUGGUGUAUCAGGAAGGUAAACCAUGUGCUGUCUGUGUGCUCACUUGUGCAUGUACAUGUGCUUUUCUGACUUUUCCUUUGCAUCUGUGCACCUGGAAUUAUGUUUUUCUGAUCAAGCUUAUACCCAAGGCAGAAUCCAAAGUUUGCAUGUUACCCACAUCCUGUAUGCUGUCAUUUGUUUUUCAUUUACUUCCUGCAGAGAGAUUGGAGAUGGAUCAUGGGACUCUU
This 271-nucleotide unclassified non-coding RNA is filed under the name Hevea brasiliensis (rubber tree). The record is from RNAcentral. Lineage: Eukaryota; Viridiplantae; Streptophyta; Magnoliopsida; Malpighiales; Euphorbiaceae.